This 422-nucleotide ribosomal RNA is filed under the name uncultured Mucilaginibacter sp. RNAcentral's name for it is "bacterial SSU rRNA". It matches the Rfam family "Bacterial small subunit ribosomal RNA", at positions 355 to 774 of the family's 1533-position model. The record is from RNAcentral. Lineage: Bacteria; Pseudomonadati; Bacteroidota; Sphingobacteriia; Sphingobacteriales; Sphingobacteriaceae.
UAAGGAAUAUUGGUCAAUGGACGGAAGUCUGAACCAGCCAUGCCGCGUGCAGGAAGACGGCCCUACGGGUUGUAAACUGCUUUUGUACCGGAAUAAACCUCAGGUCGUGACCUGGGCUGAAUGUACGGUAAGAAUAAGGAUCGGCUAACUCCGUGCCAGCAGCCGCGGUAAUACGGAGGAUCCGAGCGUUAUCCGGAUUUAUUGGGUUUAAAGGGUGCGUAGGCGGCCUAUUAAGUCAGGGGUGAAAGACGGUAGCUUAACUAUCGCAGUGCCUUUGAUACUGAUAGGCUUGAAUGUACUUGAGGUAGGCGGAAUGUGACAAGUAGCGGUGAAAUGCAUAGAUAUGUCACAGAACACCAAUUGCGAAGGCAGCUUACUAAAGUAUGAUUGACGCUGAGGCACGAAAGCGUGGGGAUCAAACA